RNAcentral lists this small RNA (1735 nucleotides) under Cryptococcus neoformans H99. RNAcentral's name for it is "Cryptococcus neoformans var. grubii H99 hypothetical RNA". Lineage: Eukaryota; Fungi; Basidiomycota; Tremellomycetes; Tremellales; Cryptococcaceae. The record is from RNAcentral.
ACUGGCGCUAUCGUUCUUGAUUUCGUUAUACAACAGAUUCUACACACCUAUUAGAAUGCUUUUUCAGGAUGUUCACGGCGACAGAAGUUCUAUCGUAUCUUUUCUGUCUUUUAGUACCUCCGCCAGUUCGAUCCAUCUUCCGCCCUCUUUCACCAUCACUUUAACACGCUUUUCUAAGCCAGGUCUUCUUCCACUUAUCUCUAUCCUUUUCACCGGCGCUUGUCUACUCUCGCCGUAAAAUGAUUUUGAAAGCCUUCCUCGACUAUAAUCCUCUGCACAUCUUUGUCAAGCUCGUCCCAAUGGCUCGGUCGGAAUGGGGUCAGUACUGAGUGAUCGAAAUUGGAAUAUGACGCUGUUGAUAAUCGAGACGAUGUACGUGGAGUAGGUGUGGGAGGUUUGAAUGAUGAGGGCGGUGGGCGACUAUGACCAGACCCGCGAGGGGCGUUAAGGGUCGUAUGGGAGUAUUGACGAUCAUUGGUCGUGAGUGCAGACAUGCCCGAGGAUAGCCGCGGCUGGAGUGCGGGAAAUUUGCCAGACAGGCGCAGUCUUCCUGAUUCAGGAGUCUUGAGACCCAUCCGGGCAUGCUCAAGGUGAGACUGACCUUUGUUAGAAGGGGAUAAAGUGCUAGGAAGCGACGAUCGCGAAUUAGGUAUAUGCUGCACGUCGGAUACUUCGCCUCGCGUAGACACCAUUCCAAAUGCGGUUCCAAUGUUCUGGCUUUUCUGAAAGCUUGACGUCCUGGCACGUAUCCUGGAGGACAUAGGGGUCUGUGGCGCAUUAUUGGGGAUGGGACUUAGACGGUGGGAGACGUGAAGAGGUUGACGGGCGUGAUUUGCUGUAGUUGUCACUUCGAAAACCUUGGGAGAAGAGUUCCAUCGUGGUUUCUCAAAAAGGUUCCCAGCAACAACUUCAGAGUUACCGGAGGCCGCAGAAGCUUGACUGUCCAAUGAUUGACGACGAUUGCCAACCUUCAAACUGUCGUUUAUAUGUGACAACUUUACUGUCUGCGACUUUCCAGGGGAUCUCGCAAAGGAAGUGGCAGGAAUAGAGGACACCCGAGGAGAGGUAGUUGAAUGAGUGACAAAUUCCUCAUCUGCGCCACCGGAAUGUUGACGAUUAUCCACCUCAGAUUGUGGUACUGAAAAUGCCUCAUCUGUAAGGACCUCCGUGUCUGCAGACGAAAAAUUCCCCAGCAAGCCUAUUUGGCGACUCGCCGCCUGAAAUUGCCUCUCUAACUCUAAGUCAUUAUCCCUUCAGAUCAACCAUUUCGCUACCCACCGUCUCAAUGCGGCUCCGUUGUCGACUCUUCGCUCCUGAAGAUCCUUAUCUAGCUUUUUCAUCGUCCGGGCGGUACUUGGUAUGUAUGUCCUUGAUAGUCAAUAUGUCAGCUGAUAUACAGUUAUACGUACUGAAACCACCUACAUUACCAGUGACUCAUGGUCGCUGACAAUACGUUGAAAUCUCUCAGCGCUGAGUUGUCCUUCAAAAUGUGAUUUAUGUGGUAUUGGAUUCCUAGAACGAUGUAGUCGCUCGAGAAAUUCCUGGAAUGAAAGAGAAGGGUCAGGAAAAGGUAUAAAAUGUGAUAUCAAUGAAGUUUUGUCUACCGACCUGACAGCUGGCGAGGCUCUGUUGAAGAGGUUCCAUCAAAGCAUCGGCUUGAUUGGCAGAGCUGGAAAAGGAAUUAGUUUUCUAGUUACUGUAGAGAGCUUUUAAGGCCCGAUACUAACGUCUGAAA